AUGAACGCUGGCGGCGUGCUUAACACAUGCAAGUCGAACGAUUAAAGCUCACUUCGGUGAGUGUAUAGAGUGGCGAACGGGUGAGUAACACGUGGGAAACCUGCCCCUUUCUUCGGGAUAACUUCGGGAAACCGUUGCUAAUACCGGAUACUCCGGGAUGGUCGCAUGGCCGACCCGGGAAAGCUUUAUGUGGAAGGGGAUGGUCCCGCGGCCCAUUAGCUUGUUGGUGGGGUAAUGGCCUACCAAGGCGAUGAUGGGUAGCCG
Molecule: ribosomal RNA, 264 nt
Filed under: uncultured bacterium
Lineage: Bacteria
Description: partial 16S ribosomal RNA
Rfam family: Bacterial small subunit ribosomal RNA
Source: RNAcentral